Leptinotarsa decemlineata (Colorado potato beetle) is the source of this 888-nucleotide long non-coding RNA. The record is from RefSeq and is a predicted model, not a curated record. NCBI's taxonomy places the organism in Eukaryota, Metazoa, Arthropoda, Insecta, Coleoptera, Chrysomelidae.
AAACCAGGCUACUUUUAGUCGAAUCGUAGCUGUUGCUGCGACAACAAUGAUCAAAGAUGCCAUCAAAUCUAUACCUACUAAUUGACAAGUGACAAUAGAUAAUGGAUAGUCGAUAAUGGCUUCCACUAGUUUGAGGUUAUGUGUAAUUUGUGAGUGGAAGUGAAAAUAGGCAGGCCAGUGUAUACAUUUCUUAAUGUCGUUUUAAUAACACGCGCAGUCGAAAAAUGCAUUCCUAUACUCCGACAAAUGUAUAAAAGUAAGAAGUAAUAUAUCUAAAGGCCGAGACUAUAAUUGUCGGUUACCGAAUGCGCCUGAAGCAAGAUGGCGCCAGAAACAAAACAAAGAGCGGGAGCCGCGUUGCCAAGUCUUCAGCUUGUUAGUGGCGGUAAAGCGUAAAGUGGCGCGAAAUAUAUCUAUGAUAAUUUGCUUGAAAGUGGUUUUCUGUAGACGAUAAUCCACAACUGCUGUUAUCCACUAUUCCUAGUCGCGAUCCAGCGUGAUGAAGGCCAUUUUUCAGUGCAUUUGCAAGAAAACAACGGCUGCGACUUCACCCUCCUCUCCACUCCCUUUUGCCAGGAAAAGGAACUGGAGCCGAGGUUUCCGGUCCUGCCAACUAAUGCAAACCGCACGGAUUUACUGACGCCCGGCACGACAUCCAGCCAUCACAAAUCUAAUAUUUCUUCGAUAACUCGGACACGGACAAGGUGCUGUUUCUUUGACUCUGUUACAGGGAGGGUCAGGAUUUUCCUUUUGGCAAUUGCCAGUUCAGUUAGAAUAACUUUACUUUGACUUUCGAUUAGGUCGGUGACCAUUCCGGAAGAAGACAUAACAUAUUCAAAAAUACACUUAAAUGUCAUUUGCUAAGAAUAAAACUCAAAGUCGUCACCA